GCGCCGGUAGCUCAGCUGAAUAGAGUGCAACCCUCCGAAGGUUGAGGUCAGGGGUUUGAAUCCCCUCCGGCGCA
Molecule: transfer RNA, 74 nt
Filed under: Candidatus Scatoplasma merdavium
Lineage: Bacteria; Bacillati; Bacillota; Bacilli; Caryophanales
Description: tRNA-Arg
Rfam family: tRNA
About the family: Transfer RNA (tRNA) molecules are approximately 80 nucleotides in length. Their secondary structure includes four short double-helical elements and three loops (D, anti-codon, and T loops).
Source: RNAcentral